UACGUAGGUGGCAAGCGUUGUCCGGAUUUACUGGGCGUAAAGAGCGCGCAGGCGGUCGUUCAAGUCGUGCGUGAAAGACCCCGGCUCAACUGGGGAGGGUCGUGCGAUACGGGCGGACUGGAGGCCAGUAGGGGGGAUGCGGCGAAUUCCGGGUGUAGUGGUGGAAUGCGUAGAGAUCCGGAGGAACACCAGCGGCGAAGGCGGCAUCCUGGACUGGUCCUGACACUCAGGAGCGAAAGCGUGGGGAGCGAUCCGG
Molecule: ribosomal RNA, 256 nt
Filed under: uncultured bacterium
Lineage: Bacteria
Description: partial 16S ribosomal RNA
Rfam family: Bacterial small subunit ribosomal RNA
Source: RNAcentral